RNAcentral lists this ribosomal RNA (497 nucleotides) under uncultured bacterium. RNAcentral's name for it is "partial 16S ribosomal RNA". It matches the Rfam family "Bacterial small subunit ribosomal RNA", at positions 28 to 507 of the family's 1533-position model. The record is from RNAcentral.
GAUGAACGCUGGCGGCGUGCCUAAUACAUGCAAGUCGAGCGAACAGACGAGGAGCUUGCUCCUCUGACGUUAGCGGCGGACGGGUGAGUAACACGUGGAUAACCUACCUAUAAGACUGGGAUAACUUCGGGAAACCGGAGCUAAUACCGGAUAAUAUAUUGAACCGCAUGGUUCAAUAGUGAAAGACGGUUUUGCUGUCACUUAUAGAUGGAUCCGCGCCGCAUUAGCUAGUUGGUAAGGUAACGGCUUACCAAGGCAACGAUGCGUAGCCGACCUGAGAGGGUGAUCGGCCACACUGGAACUGAGACACGGUCGAGACUCCUACGGGAGGCAGCAGUAGGGAAUCUUCCGCAAUGGGCGAAAGCCUGACGGAGCAACGCCGCCUGAGUGAUGAAGGUCUUCGGAUCGUAAAACUCUGUUAUUAGGGAAGAACAAAUGUGUAAGUAACUAUGCACGUCUUGACGGUACCUAAUCAGAAAGCCACGGCUAACUACGUG